RNAcentral lists this long non-coding RNA (22120 nucleotides) under Fragaria vesca (wild strawberry). RNAcentral's name for it is "long non-coding RNA (FVES_LNC003747)". Lineage: Eukaryota; Viridiplantae; Streptophyta; Magnoliopsida; Rosales; Rosaceae. The record is from RNAcentral.
GGAGUCUUAUCUUCACCUGUAAGGCUAAGAUUACAAAAUUUAUCAUUCGAGAGGAUUGGUAUUAUCUGGCUUGCCCCACCUGUAGCAAGACCCUUAGGUUCGAUCAUAAUUCUAGAAAACUUUGUUGUGGACACCACGGAGAGCAGAUUGGGCAUCCAAUGUAAGCUACUUGAAUAAACACUAUUUCCCACCUUUGAAAUUUUUAAAAUUACAUGUUCACUGUAUUCUUGACUCUUAUUUAUGAAAUGUAUAAUUGCAUGUAAUUCAUUUGCCAAAUCUCUUUGUAUUUUUCAUUCUGCUUAAACUUUUUUUUUCCCAUGUUUCACAUAUCAUACCUUAUGAUACGGAAGCGUAAUCACGAUAGAAACAAGGUGCGUAAUCACGAUAGAAACAAGGUUUCGUCAAGCGUCGAAACCUUAUGGAGUAAGCUAGAAUCCACUAGCAAAACACAGGCACAAGCCUAAAACAUAAGAGUUUCUAUUCUAAUUUCUUUUGGGUUUUCUUAUUGAUAACUUCCAUCAAAAUACAAUUUAGCAGGGGCCUUAUAUAGGCAUAGAAAUAAACAUAAUCAUACUAGAACUAGGAAUCCUUUAUUCUAAAUAAAACUUAAAUCCUAAUGAAAACAUAGAAAGUAAAAUAAUCCUAAUGCUGAUAGAAAAUAUGCAGGAACAAAGCUACUGCUUUGCAGAUUCAAAGCUGCUGCUUUGACUUUGCCUUCCUAGCAAGCUGUGUCUUAAAUGUUUGUGCAAGCUGUUCUAUAUCAGUCUCCUCCACUUUAGAAGAACUCGACCUCGAGUUUAUGUUAGGAUAGAAAGCGUCAUCAUCAUCAGCUUGAUAGGCAUGUAUGUCACUAACGUUGAAGGUCUUGGAUAUUCCCAUAGUAUCUGGCAGAUCAAUGACAUAUGCAUUGUCAUUGAUUUUCUUGAUAAUUUUGUACGGUCCAUACUUCCUGCGCUUGAGCUUGUUGUAGGUACCGAUAGGAAACCUUUCUUUUCGUAAGAAAAUCAUCACAGUGUCUCCUUCGCUAAAAAUCUUCUCACGCCGAUGAGAAUCUGCAAUAGCCUUGUACUUCACAUUAGUAACUUUCAGUUUCUGCUUAACCUCAUCUUGGACUCCAUGUACCUCUCUUGCCAUUGACGCAGCUGCUUCACUAAAGUCCUUAGCCUUUGGAACAGUAGCCAAGUCAACCACAAGCUUAGGAGGUGAAACAUACACCACUGAAAAUGGUGUCCUUCCAAUAGAGCUGUGAACUGAACCGUUAUAGGCAAACUCAACCUGAGGCAGAAUAACAUUCCACNNNNNNNNNNNNNNNNNNNNNNNNNNNNNNNNNNNNNNNNNNNNNNNNNNUUGAUCUUGCAUAUCAUAUUCUCAAGUACUGCAUCUUUAUCAUGACAUGUUUUAUCGAAUAACUAGAUAUCUAUGUUUAAUAACUAUUGUACUUCUACACUUUUACUAUCUUAUGAAUUUUGAAAACUUGUAUUGAUGAUUUGGAGUUGGGAUAUAACAAUAAUCAUUUGAUUAUAAAUUGAACAAUGAUAAUAAAAAAUUUCUAACAAAAAUUAGACGAAAUAAUAUGUAAAAAGAGGUACCAAAUAGUAAAUAUAGAUUAAUUAUAUUAAAUAAUGAAAUAUUUCAUAAAUUAAGGGUAUUGCGUAUUAAGUAUAAUACUGAAAUGAAAAACUUGAUAUGUGGUGUAUUAAGUAAGGGGUGUAUAUUAAGAUAUUAGAGGUGUGUAUUUAAAAUUUCUCUUCUUGUCUAGGUUGAUAAAUUUGUCAAUUUAGUUUAGCAAUAUUAGGAUUUAGCAAUUUUUUAGGCAUUCUGCUGGAGCUCUUAUUCAUCCCAAAAGUUGACAAAUUUCAAAAAAGUAAAUGAUUCGACAAUACUGUUGGGGAUGCUCUAAGAUGAUUAGCUUUUCACUCAUUGGCAAUUACUUUUUUACCAUUCUGAUUAUAAUUUUCAUUUUUUAUUAAACAAACAACUGAAAUGCUACGACGAGUCUAUGACUCACAACCUCCCACUUACUCCCACUUAGAUCAAAUACAUUUGUUUAUUUGUGUAUAGAUUGUAAUUCAAUAAUGACCUCCUUGGGAGAUGAAUAUAAUCAAGACAUUAUUCCUAUGCUUUCUUAUAAGUUGAAGAUUUUGCUAAAUGAUCCAAAACAACAUGCAUUAUGGUACGUUUAUAUAUGUGCAAAUCAUCACCAAAAGCUACAAGUUACACGAGGCCACAAGAACAGUAUAAGAAACUAUCAAUCUGCAACCGUUUCAUGACUUGCGAAAUUAGAAGAAGUUCUUGGCCAUCAAACUUUCAACAGUAUCCUUCAGUGUCACUUCUAGCAGUGUAUACUUUACACCCAAAGAUUGGGCUCUUUCCUUUGAUACCUGGCAUGUUGGUGGAAAAGGCUCGUCAUCUGCACAUCUGUCAAAAAUAGAGACUGAUGAGAUUGUGAAGUCCCAGCUAGUAUGCCAAGUAUGAAAAUGUUAAUGCAACUUACUUAUCUGGAAGAGUGAGAGUGGGGAAGAUACUGCUCAACAUCUUCACAAUCUCUGAACAGUGGUUAGUGCUUCCAACUAAACAAUAACGUCCCCAAGCUGAGGGGUUCUCAAAGGCUAGAAUGUGUGCAUUAGCAACAUCUCUAACAUCAACAAAUCUGUAAUUUUUGUUAGGAAACUGUUCCUUCCCUGCAUCAAUUAAACGAUAAUCAGCAACAACAGAUUCGAAUUGGCAGAUUGUUUGAGACGGAUAUCAAGGUGAAGAGCAAAGUGUUAUCCACUAAAUAAUGCAAAUUUUUUCCAAUAAAAGUACCAUUUACGAGAUUUAGAACUUGUUCCGCACUUAAGUUUAGAGUUGGCUGUAAGAGAGGGCCAAUCACCCAUGCCGGAUUUAUUGUAACAAUAUCAAUGCCUUUCUCUUUUGCAAACUCCCAAGCAGCUUGCUCAGCUAGUAUCUUUGAAAGCACAUACCAAAGCUGAUGGAAACCCCAAUGUCUUAGUAAAUACAAUGCACAUAGUUUUUAUGGCUUGAAAGCAAUCCUAUAGUUAGUAUGCAGGCAACCACAAAACCAUUUACACACAAACCUUUGAUUUUUCGCAAAAAGCAGGAUCCGAAAACCAAGUUUCAUCAAUGGUUACAUCAGAAGUUUCAGGUUUUCCGUUAAAUGCAACUGUUGCAAUAGAGGAUGUUAUAACCACCCUUUUAACAGAGGGAACCUUCACACACGAUUCAAGGACAUUAAGCGUUCCCUUCAAAGCAGGGUCCAAUAAUUCUGCCUGACAAAGAUUAAGAGCUAGCAAAAUUAUAGUGCAAUAAGUGCUGAUUUUGCAGGUAAGAUGAAACUGCAUCAACAAAUUAGAAAAACUGGUACAUGUUCAUUAAACAAAGAAAUGAACCUGAGGGUCAGUGACUGAAAGAAGUACAGAGGAUGCCGUAUGGAAAACACAUUCACAACCAUCUACUACAGAAUCAAAAGAACCUUCAUCUAACAAGUCAGCUUUGAAUAGAUGAAGCCUUUCCUUUGCUCCUUCAAGUGAGAGCAGGUGUUCUGUUUUCUUUUGAUCAUCUGCAGCAUGCAAAAGCCAAAAGCAGAACUUGCUUAGUUAAGACUGAAAAUUAAAACCUAGAUGUUGAAGAUUAGCUGAAGAAGUGGCUCAAGUUGAUAAAGUCUGAAUGGAUCCAAACUUGAAAACAAAACGGGAAGAGAGAAAGAAAAGAGAAGUGAUGGAACUGACUUGGAUCCCGAACGGUGGCUUUGACAGUAUACCCUCGUUGCAGUAAGAGCUUGACCAGCCAUGAUGCUAUGAACCCUGAUGCUCCUGUCACACACACCACCUUGCUUUCUCCACAACUCAUCCUUUUUGUCUCUUCUUCUCUCCGGUUGUCUCUCGUAGGAAGUAAGAGCUUAGUUUCUGUGACAGGGAGACCUCUCUAUCCUGAUUUUUAUAAUGAUGGUGGGUGUAGACACAUAAAAUUUAAUGAAAAUAAUAAUCAUUAGAUUAUUCAUUCAACGCAUGAUCUUGACAAAUUGCAUACGUGUGGUUCAUGAGUCGAGAAAGUUGAAAAAUCUUUGGAAAUGACAUGUGGCGACGUGUGAAUGGUCAGUCGACAACAAAAUCAUCAAUCCCGACUAAAAGCAAAUAUUAAAUAUCAAUCGAUAAUCAAAUUUCAAUCAAAUUAAAUUGAUUAUCGGAAAGGAAGUCGAACAUUUAAUUAAAUUGAUAAAAUACCUUAUCGGUUAUAAUCGAAUCAAUCAAUAGAUACCGAUUGAUUUAUUUAUGUUAAUAAUUAUAAUUAGAUCAAUCAAUCAAGACUGAUUGAUUUAAUUAUACCGUUAAGAAAAUACAAUUAAAACGGUGUCUUCAAAACAUUCCAUAAACAGAGGAACGUUGACACUAUAAAUACGCCCUCUCAUAUCAAGAGGAAGACUUCCGGACAAGAGAGAAAAAUUACUCCCGAGAGCUCAGAAUUCUCCCAAAACCUUUGAAGAAUCAUCAAACUGCCAAAUAGCCGAUUCUUCAUCAACCUCAAGCCUAGAAGUUGUCAAAUCCCGAAGAGUCCCAAGUUGCCAAAUAGCCGACAUAUUCACCAACUACAAGACGAAGAGCAACCACCAUGUGGAACUGCUCGUGUCCCAAACCCGAUCAACGUCAAGCCUCUACGGCCCUUGAUCAACCCUCGUCUUCAAGCCUUUUAACAAAUCAAAACUUCUACUAAGUUCUUCAACAAGCUCAAGGAGAAUCAACAAGCACCAAACACACGUGUCGAUUCAUCUGUUAUCAAGCCGAAGAAUGUGACACCUCUCACGGCCCAAAUUCGACCAAGAUCAAGCCUCUAUGGCCCUUGGUCAACUUCCUUCUACAAAUAGUCAACACGAUAAGAAGUUCAAACUACAACAGUUCAAUUCAAGAUCAAGUGCUCGUCACCCUUGGAUCAAAUCAAUGUCGGAGAUCGAAUCAGAGGACAUUUUUGUUAAAAGAAUACCCACAGAGAUUCUAACCCGCAAAUUCAAUCAAUACAAAUAUAUUAUUUUGUACACGUGUCUUUCUGUUAUUCGUUACAUGAAUUUUCGUGUUUUCAGUGGGAUUUAUGAUAUGCUUAGUCUCUAAACUAUUCUCAUUUCUCAUAAACAACCAAUGUAGGGAGCUGUGUCAAUUAACUUUAUUAUAAUUAGCAUUAGUGUUAUAGUUGACUUAGAUUAAAUACUAUACAAGCCACCUUGGAAAAUGAAUAUAAUCAACACAUUAUUUUCAUAUACUUUCUUAUUUCUUUAAGCUUUUUUCGAAUCCGCAGCACCAGUUAUGUGCAGAUCAUCACCACAAGCUAUAAGUUAUACAAAGGUAGACAUACACUAUGAAUCUGCAGUAACUGUUUCCAAACUUGCGAAUAAGACGUUACAUAAUUAGAAGAAGUUCUUGUCCAUCAAACUCUCAACAGUAUCCUUUAGUGUCCCUUCCAGCGGAGUAUAAUUGACACCCAAAAUUUGGGCUCUUUCUUUGGAUACCUGAUAAGUUGGUGUGAAAGGUUUAUCAUCUGCAGACCUGCCAAAAGUAGAGACUCAUGAGUUUCUGAAGUCCUAAUACUCUCUUCGGCAAUCAAGCAAAUUAGUCAUUAUGAAAUAUGAAUACAGUUACAUUGUCUUACCGCACUCACUACUCUAUAUCAUUCAGUAUCAGAAUUUAGAAGUACACUAUUCACAACAAAUAGGUUAUUACAAAGUCUAUCAAACCAUUCAAUAGAUUCAAAACUGAAACAGAACAACUAGCAGGCAAUUAGCAAACAUCUGAUUCUAGAUGUAUGCUUAGAAUUGAUAUUGUCCAAAAUACACAUUAAAUAGGAUAUCGCUUUUUCCAUAAGUGACCGAAUUAUGUAUCCUGAUAAGAAACAAUUGCCAAUACUAUGUAAGAGGGAUGUCUUGAACUCAAACAGAAAGGUACCCGACAAGUACACCAGUGCUAUCCUUACAACUCUCUAAAACACACAUAGGAGUAACAUCUGAUAGAUUGUUUAUAUUAGCAACUUACUUUUCUGGAAGACUGAGAGCAGGGAAGAUAUCACGCAGAAUUUUCACAAUAUCUGAACAGUGUGUUACGCUUCCAACUAAACAAUAACGUCCACUAGCUGAAGGAUUCUCCAAGGCUAGAAUAUGUGCGUUGGCAACAUCUCUAACAUCGACAAACCUAUAAGUUGUGUUUGGAAAUUUUUCAGUCCCUGCAUCAAGUAAAAAGGAUUAUCAGGAGUUUGGGGCGUAGCUACAUUGGAACCAAAAGGUUCAAAUGACCCCUAUGAGGUUACGAGAACAAGCAUCAAUUGGUUGAUGAUUUCAUAUAUACUACAUUUUAAUGUAUAAAUUGACCCCUCUAUCAUAAAAAGAAAGAAAGAAAAAGAUAAGAUGAGAAUAUUGUCAUUGACCAAUAAAAAAAGAUGAGAUUGUACGUGAGAUUGUUCGAUCUGCCCGCAAGUUUUUAUUAUGUUAGUAGAUUUCUAAAACAGUAAAACAAGUCAUGGUUUCAUAUUGAUCAAGAUCAUCAAACCUUAAAUUGUAAUUUACUUAUUGUUAUAUGUAUAAAUCAUGACCCUUAUAAUUGAGAUUUAUAGCUACGCCACAGGAGUAAUAACUUCUGGCAGCUUGUUUAACACUGAUACCAAGCUGAAGCGCAAAUCAAAUUUCACUAUAAGAUUUUAACGCAGCCAUUCUGAAAUAGGACAUAUCAUGAGAAAGUAAUUAAUUUCCAACAUUACCUUCCCUAUAACCUCCACCCUCUUCUCCAAGCAAACUCUAUAUAAAUCACUAUACUUUUUCUUAAUGCAACUGAAUAAAUCUUUUGAAUGUGAAGCAAAUAGUUAAACGGCAAGUGGUGCUUAAGACAAUUGUAUAUACUUAUAAAUCUUAGACAUGGAGACAAUGAUCUAAAUGCAAUAGAGCAAUGUCCACUCUUUUUAUCAGAGAGCAAUAAUUCUAGCAGAUAAACAAUGACUUCAAUUCUCAUCAACACAAAUAAAAGUGAUAACAGGAACUAAAAAUGUAGUAAGCCUGUAAGAUUGAAAUGAUAAAUGGAUUUCAAAUUUGCUUAAGAGUGUGAUAACAGGAACUAAAAAUGCAGUAAGAUUGAAGUGAUAAAUGGUUUUCAAAUUUGCUUAAGAGUACCAUUUAUGAGGUUUAGAAUUGGCUCCACACUUGUGUUGAGAGUUGGCUGUAAGAGAGGACCGAUCACAUAUCCUGGAUUUAUUGUAACAAUAUCAAUGCAUUUCUCUUUUGCAAACUUCCAAGCAGCUUCCUCAGCUAAUGUCUUUGAAAGCAUAUACCAAGCCUGAAGAAAACCAAUGUCUGAGCGAAGACAAUGAAAACAUAUUUUUAUGGCAUGCAAGCAAAUAGAUUGAACUCGUAUGAAAAAUUAUCUUAAAUGCAUGUAAAAAAAAACAACAUUUACAUGCAAACCUUUGAUUUUUCACAGAAAGCUGGAUCUGAAAACCAGGACUCAUCAAUUAUUACAUCAGGAGCGACAGGAUUUCCAUUAUAUGCAACUGCUGCCAUAGAGGAAGUUAUGACCACCCUCUUAAUAGACGGAACCUUAACACAUGAUCUGAGAACAUUGAGUGUUCCCUUCAAGGCAGGGUCAAUUAGUUCAGCCUGACAAAAGAACACAGAACCUUCAAUUAUAGAACUUGAAUUGACAACAAAAAUAUCCAACAGAAAAUUGUUGCCUUUGUCUCCAAAUUCAAUCUAUCCAAAGUCAAACUAUGUAAUAAUGUAAACACUUAAAGGAUUGGGAACUAUAAGGGUGAAUCUUGUAUAUUGCAUAAGGACUUUUGGUGAUUACUAAUAAACUAACUUUAAAAAUCAUAACUUCAUCCAAGUAGAUCUAUGACAGAUACCAUCCCACAAGAAGCAUGGCAACUAAAUGCACUCUAUACACCGUGUACCCUACUUCCUGGGAUAUUCAGUAGCGAACACAAUGUGGGUUAAACAUCUGCUGAAAUGAAAGUUCUAUUUUAUUUUGGUAGCUCCAGGAAUAAAUCAACAGAAGAGUCCGUUUCUAAAAUAUUAGAAACAUAUACAGUAUUUAGUAGAACAACUAAAGCAAUUACAAUGAAAUGGGAUGUACCUGUGGAUCAUUGGGAUUGAGAUAAAAUGGGGAUGCUGUAUGAAAAACAGCAACACUACCAUCAACUAUGGAAUCAAAAGAUCCUUCUUCGAGUAGAUCUGCUCUAAACAAUUGAAGCCUUUCCUUGGCUCCAUCUAAUGCACGCAAGUGUUCUGUUUUCUUCUUGUCAUCUGUGGCAUACAAACAGAUUGAAGCAGUUGAAUCAAUAAAACCAUCAAAACUGUACCUUCAAAAACUGCCAAACAGAUCUCCACAAUGACAAUUUAUUUCUUCCCUCAAACAGAUCCUGAUCUGUUUGGUACUAUGACUAAGUAAAUUGAAUCAAACCCAUCACUCUAUCAGGUUACCAAGGUCAAACCCAUAACACUAGUUAUCCAAUACCCACAUUCUUGUUGCUAAAAAUCUAAAAGCUUUGACGAAGUCUCAAUGAUCAUCAAAUGUUAUUAAUCACAACAGGGUUUAGCGUUUGGAAUGAAGCACAACUGAACAGAAGACGAAAAGAACAAAAACGUGGGUAUGUAUGAUGUUGAAACAAGAACUCAAGUGAAGUGGAAGACUGACUUGGGUCACGAACUGAAGCCUUGACAGUGUAGCCGCGUUGCAGCAACAGUUUGACCAACCACGAUGCUAUGUAGCCGGAAGCUCCUGUCACACAGACAACCUUAGUUGCUGCACUCAUCCUCUCUCUCUAACGGUCUAACCUGCAGACUUGAGCUAUAAAGUAAUGCAAUAUUCUAUUUAUAAAGGAUUUCUGAGCAAUCGUCACUGCAUACCUACUCGUCACCAGGGUCGCAAGCUCUUGCGUCACUCCACAUUUUAGUCUUUUGAACACCAAACAUCUCAUUUACUCGUGACUUCAGACUUCAGAGUGCCGAAGUGUUAGAAUGAGAAGGCAUGGAUGAAUAGCUUUCUUGAGUGCGAAGGCAUGGGGUGGUUAAUAGUUCUAACCAUUUCGUUAAGCAGAAAAUCUUGCAUACACAGUGGUGACCAUAUAAUCUUAGUCAUUCAUAUAUGAUCGAUAACCAUCAAGCAUUUGUAUAUGAUAACCAUCAAGCAUUUGUAAUGUCAUCUAAUCUCAAACAUCGACAUGGUAGCGUGUAUCUACAUGCGGUGCUCUAAAGAUUCCUCAUUUCUGUAAGGGAGUGUGUUACUUGAAAAUAUUCCGACACAUAUAAAACAUUUUGUGUAGAGAUGAUGAUUAUAGGCUUCAUGUUUAUUUUGAAUUUCUAAAGAAAAUUACAAGAAGGGGACCCUAAAUAAAGGUAUUACAAGAAUAUUUCAACAUUUCUAAUAGCAUAAUUACAAUCUCAAACCACUGGAGCCUACUGCCCAUAUUACUCAUCAGCUUCGAAGAUGUCUGGAGCUAACUCUCUUAUUAACACGCAAAUGCAGUGGGGACAUAUAUCUGUGAUAUCUUGUGGCAUUCAUAUCUACAAGGCAACAAUAAAAACGUUCAAUUUCAAAGACACACAGUUUUGUGGGCAUAUUUGAUGGUUUCCAAUCUUUGAGUCCAAAACAAAGAGAUGACCUAAAACUUCUGUAGAUAAAAGUGAAAAAAUUCAAGGAUGAUUGAUCAUUUGAAAUUUAAACAUCACAUAUGCUAUUGAUUUUUUUUUUUUGUUUUUCAUUUGUUGGAUGAAAUAAAUUUAUCUCUCUACAGUCUACACUAAUGUAAGAUGUUCACGUCAAAAAAUCAAAAAUGCAUAGUAAAUAUUAGUAGAAAAAGAAGAGGUUCGAGUGUAUAACUAUAUACAGGUGAGAUCAUAUACCUGGUUCUGUGAUGUAUACAAAGAACACUCCUCUGUAUCUCUGAUUCUUAAAUAAGACAUUCAUGUAUUCUCUCUAGUACUUCAUCAACGAAAUGGAAAUAAGCAUCACACCAAGACUUCCUGAUUACUAAUAUGAAGAAAGGAACCAGAAUGCCUGCUGCAAAUCCCAAUCCAAGACUCAUAUAAAAGCACUUAUCAAUGACGUCAUCUUCACCACCACCAUUAUCAUUCUCCAAUAUUCUUCCCUUACCAGAAUCUUCACCGCCUGGACAUGUUACAAUUAGAGGAUCACCACAAAGGCCUGGAUUUCCACAGAAAGAAGAUGCAUCAAAAGUUGUCAAAUGAGCUGUGUAUGGGAUCUUCCCAGAAAAGUCAUUGUUUGACAAGUUCAAAUACCCCAGAAAUGAUAGUGAAGACAAACUUUGAGGAAUAGGACCUGAGAGCUUAUUACUAGCAAAAUCAAGUGAUUCCAACUGUUUCAACUUGGAAAUGCUCUCUGGAAUGUGACCACCUAUAUGGUUUCUAGAUAAAUCCAGAACAACCAAACCUGUUAGUUUUGUUAGUUCUUCAGGAAGAGCUCCACUCAACUCAUUUCCAGAGAGGUCCAUGCUGAUUACAAGGGAGAGGAUCUUGGUGUAUCUUUGAUCUGAUCCUUUCAAGUUCACAACCAAGCUUUCUUCAUAAUACAAGCUGCUGAAGAUCAGUUCAUAGAAUAACUAACGGUUCACGUUUUGCACUUGGGCCAUGGCUUUGAAAUCUGCAAAACCAAUUGGAAUGCUUCCAUUCAAUUGAUUUUCUGCAAGGUCCAGGACAUGUAAUGAACUUAAAUUUGACAGCACGAAGGAAGUUCUCCAGAAAAGGAAUUUGAUCUCGGCUUCAGAAUUCUCAGAUGUUCAAAAUAUUUUCCAAUCCAUGCUGGAAUUGUACCUGUAAGACUAUUGUUUCCAAGAUCCAAUGUUUCCAAACUUGAUAAAUUCUGCAAAGUGUGGAAGCUCUCCAGAGAGUUUAUUGUCACUUAAGUGCAAUGUUUGUAGUUUCAACUCACCGAAGGAUUUAGGAAUACUCCCAGACAACUUGUUCCUGCUUAAGUCUAGAACCACCAGGGAAGAACAAUUUCCUAUGCUAGAUGGAAUGCUUCCGGUUAAUAGGUUACUUGAAAAAUCAAUGGCAAAAGGAUACUGAAUUUUACCCAAGGAAGCAGGGAUUCCUCUCGUAAGUUGGUUUCCGGAAAGAGAGAGGAAGAUCAACCUUGGUACGGCAUCACCUAUGUUCUUCGGAAUGGAGCCUGAGAAUUUAUUGUUUGACAAGUCAACUAACUCAACAUCAACAACUGGAAGAGGAAUUGGUCCUUCGAAGAAGUUUCCACUGAAAUCAAUGUCUGCAUAAAGACCAACCUUUAAAGGAUUUGGCAGCUGACCAACUAAUUGAUUCAUUGAAAUAUUCAACACUGAUAGAUUAGAUGGCAUUUCCCACAACCAGUUGGGCAAGGAACCUGCAAAGCUUGCAUUUGAGAAGUCAAGAAACUUGACAUCCUUUUGUGACUUUAGCCAUGCAGGAAAUGAAGGACCCAAAUGGCAUGAGCCAAGACUAAAAGUCUGCACUUGAAAUGGGGGUACCCAAUUUGAACUGACAUUUAGUACUAGUGAAUUGAAAGAAAUGUACAAGUAUUUCAGCUUACUAAGGUUUUGAAAGUGUGUUUCAGUUACUAUACCCGUCAAAUGGUUGGAAGAAACAUGAAGCAAAGAAAGCUCAGAAAGUUUUCCUAAACUGUCUGGGAGAGUUCCAGUAAGUUUAUUGUAUCCAAGAUUCAACUUAGAAAUGUUUGGUAAUGACCCCAGUGAAGCAGGGAUGGGACCAUGGAUUGAGUUACUGAAAAGAUUUAGUUCAACAAGACUUUCAAGUUGACCCAACCGUUCUGGCAAAUUACCAACCAAUUGAUUGUUUCCCAAAUCGAGGAACUGGAGACUGGGCAGAGGAGUUCUAGAUAUGCACUUUCCUGUUCCUAGAACCUCGGGUAUAGUUCCUGUAAGGUUAUUACUUGUGAGGCUAAAAAGAGUCAGAUUGCAGAGUUUACCUAUGGAACUUGGAAUUCCACCUUGGACAUUAUUGUCAGAAAGAUCAAAAUAAGUGAGAGCUGUCAUGUUGCCAAUGGAAGCGGGAAGUUCACCAUGUAAUCUAUUGGAACUUAGAUCAAUAACGCGCAAGUUUUUCCAGCUUCCUGUGAAAACCUCAAUGCAAUUUGCCGUAAGAUUUCUAUUUGCAGAAAGAUCUAAAUUCUUCAACCUUGGAAGAUCACUGAAACCAAGGGGAAUCCUUCCAUACAAGCCGCAAAAUUCCAUGCUUACAGUUACAAGACUGCUGAUGUUAAGUAGCCAGUGAGGUAUCUCUGAAUUGAGGCUGUUAUAAUCAAGUUCUAUCACAGCUAAUGAAGUGAAAUUGAUUUCAGUCAGAGAGGCAACGAAACCAGAUAAGCCACAACUAGACAGAUACAACUCAGUCAAAGCGGGGAGCUUAUUAAGCUUCCCAAUCCAGUCUGAUCCUACCAUCGAAAGGUCAGCUCCAUUCAUAUUGAGAUAUUCCAAAGACACAAUACCAGACACCCAUCAAGGUUAUCAACAGAUAAAAAUGUAAAACCAAAUUCGUCGGAACUGACAUCAAGAUACUGCAAGUAAGAGAGGUUCCCUAAAUUUGGAGGAAUUGCACCACUAAACCCAGCAUUAGACAGGUUCAGAUGCUGCAAAUACUUCAAGGUUCCAAAUAACUCACGAAUUUGAACGGACUUGAAGGUAUUGAAACUCAAGUCCAAAUGCUUCAAAGACUUGAGCAUCUUCAGUGAUGGUCUAAUCUCACCACUAAAGUUCCAAAAUCCAUACAUGCUAGAAGAACCAGAAUCAUCAACUUGAUGGGGAUUAUGGUGAUCUAGGGAAAUGACAGCUCCCCUUGUGUUACUAAAGUGUACCCCCCACCAUUGGCAGCAGUCACUUCCUUCCCAUGAUGAAAGCCGGUUAUCACUUCCUUUCUGUAUCCAGGCAGCCUAUCUCGAAGUGACGUACAUCCAUGAACCAAAGGAGACCCGAUUGAACCUUGGAAAAAAGAUAGAGGAGAUUCGAUCUCAAACAAACAGAAGAAAGAUAUAGCAACAUUUAUGAGCGAAAAGAGACCCAAUUUUGAACCCUAGGAAAACAAAAGCAAAAACAAAAGAAGUUCGGGGAUGGUGAGAGGCGAGGAAACAAGUAACCGCUAGCGCCCGUGCGGGCGGGCAGCACCACCUUCAAACCUCUCAGGGGUUUUUAACCGUGAGAAAUGACACGCGAGGGAAUGAAGUUUCUUUUUUUAACCACUCGAGGGAAACACCAAUAAAAGACCCCACCAUCUAAAUUGUUUAGGGUUUGAUAAAAACACGCGCCACUUCCCAGCCCCACAUCCCCAGGUGGCCUACAAGGCAAGAGAACUCUAAAUGAAGCACUCGUUUCUUCACUUUUCUCCGAUGUGGGACGCUGCCUUUCUACAAUACACACACUCGCACAGUUUUUUCGACCUAGUGUUAUGGAGAGGGCAGUUCUGAGUUGAUGGAAACAGUCACAGUACUUCCUGUAGUAUUACUAUUUACUAUUUCUCUUUGUUGCAGAAAUACAGGUUUCAAUCUGUAAGACUGAUGCAGAAUAACGUUUUCGAUACAAACAUGAACUACGUGGAUUUCAAAACCAAUAAUGUAGUCGUCAAUGUCGUGCUUAGAAAUAAACUACUUCCAUUUCCAAAAGAAGAUAGAGAAUUAUAGAAGUUGUUUCCCGGAUAACGUAUACUGGAGGAAAAAUGAAAACAAUUUGAAUUGAAAGCGCUUUACAUAAUCAGCCAACUUCCAGCACUCUAUAAAGUAUACACUUCACAAUUUUAAAUAUGGUCUGGUUCAAAGGACAUCAAAUUUGACACUAAUUUUGACACUAUUUAUUAGCUAUUAGAUUUUAAAACAAUGAAUGGUCUAGAUCAAUUUUAAAUAUGAUGUCAACAAAUAAUUAAUUGAGAUGGCAAGUGACGUGACAUUACCUAAUUUUAUAACAAAUCAAAUUAAAAGAAAAAAAAGGAAAAAUCAGAAUUUAAAAUUUGAAAACCAAAAUCCAGAUUGUACGAUAAUAAAAAUCCACAAAAGAAAAAAGAAGAACACAGACGAAAGAAAGAAGAAAAAAAAUUGAUUUUGGAAGUUUAGGGAAACAUCUUAGAUGAUCCAGACAAAAUUGAUUAUGUACAUUAGCCAUAGAGAGCUGUAUAUAUCUACCACUGCAUGAUGCAAAACUGUAUGAUUCUUUUGUGCAUAAAGCCAUAACGAUAUGCUUUGAAAUUGAUUGUUUAAUUGUCUUUUCUAUAGUCAUUGCUCUAUGAAGAUCUGGUAUAUUAGAGUUGCAGCUUUAUGAUUGAAUGAGUACAGAAACAAAAGCUAGCUUCUUUCUAAGUGAAGAUUAAUUUAACGAAAUAUGAAGAUCUUAUAUGAGGGCAACUUUAUGAUUUGAAUUGAGGUUAUUUUCUUCUUUCUUUCGUUUAUGUUCUUCUUUUUAAGUCUUUUGUCGAUCUUUUUUCUUAUUUCUUUUCUUUUAAUUGUACCAACUUGAUUGGGAUUUUGGUUUCCAGAUUUUAAAGUAUGAAUCUUAUUUUUUAAUUUGAUUUGUUAUAAAAUUAGGUAAUGUCAUGUCACUUAUCAUCUCAAUUAGUUAUUUGUUGACAUCAUAUUUAGAAUUAAUCUAGACCGUUCAUUGUUUUAAAAUCUAAUGGCUAAUAAAUAAUGUCAAAAUUAAUGUCAAAUUUGAUGUCCCUUAAACCGGACCCUUUAAACAUAACAAUCGCUUUCCGAAUUAUUCAAUAACCGUUAUCCAAUACAUUGAUUUCCAAGUCAAUGCCGUGACAACUGAUUGCAUGUUAAAGUUAUAAUUCCUUGAACAAAAUACAUAGGAUGACAACUGACAGAUACUAAACUUGAGUUUAUUGAUCUUUCCUACGUGUUCAAUACAGUACAAGAAAAUAUGUACUCGUUGUUGAUUCAUUUUACCAUGCAAAUAAUCACUGCAAGCUAUAAGUACACAAGGCAACGAUCUUAUAAACAAUAACACCUCAAAAGUAGAAAUACAUACACUAUCAAUCUUUAACAAUGUCCGGACUUCCGAAUAAGUUUAAUUAGAAGAAAUUCUUGUCCUUCAAACUUUCAACAGUAUCCUUUAGUGUCACUUCCAGCGCAGUAUACUUGACUCCCAAAGUUUCGGCUCUUUCCUUGGACACCUGAUACGUUGGAGUGAAAGGUUUAUCAUCUGCAGACCUGCCAAAAGUAGAGGCUCAUGAGUUUCUGAAGUCCCAAUACUCUCUCGGCAGUCAAGCUAAAUUACUCAUAAUAAAUACAGUUACAUCGUCUUGCCUCACUCACUACUCUGUAACAUCUAGUAUCAGAAUUUAAAAAGUACACCAAUCACAACAAAGAGGUUAUCACAAAGUUUAACUAAAGCAUUCAAUCAAGUCAAACCAUUCAAUAGUGAAGAUUCAGAACUGAAAACACAACAAGUGGCAGGAAAUUAGCAAACAACUUAUUCUAUAUGAUAAACACCAAACGACCCCCUCCCUCCCUAUCAAUGAGAUAAUCUAUGCUCAAACAGAUAUUAUCCAAAUAUACAAUGUAAGAGGGAAGAUUUGCACUCUAGAAGAAAGGUACUUUAACUAAGUGCACCAGUGGCAUCCUUAUGCCUUUCAAACACAUAUAGGAGUAACAUCUGAUAGAUUGUUUAUAUUAGCAACUUACUUUUCUGGAAGACUGAGAGCAGGGAAGAUAUCACGCAGAAUUUUCACAAUAUCUGAACAGUGUGUUACACUUCCAACUAAACAAUAUCGUCCACUAGCUGAAGGAUUCUCAAAGGCUAGAAUAUGUGCGUUGGCAACAUCUCUAACAUCAACAAAUCUAUAAGUUGUGUUUGGAAAUUUUUCAGUCCCUGCAUCAAGUAAAAAUGAUUAUCAGGAGUAAAUUGGCAGCUUGUUUAAAACUGAUACCAAGCUGAAGUGCAAAUUAACUUUGACUAUAAGUUUUUAACGCAACCACCAGGCUACAUAGUAAAUGACCAAUCUAGGAUAGGACAUAUUGCGAGAAAGUAAUUUUCCAACAUUACCUUCCUUAUGACCUUGACCCCUUUCUUCUUUCAAACUGUGUAUAUAAAUCACUAUACUUUUUCUAAAUGCAAUUGAUUAAAUAUUUUGACUGUGAAACGGCAUAUAUUGAUAGCUAUAAGAACAGCUUAUUGAUGAUAAAAUAGAUAUUGAUGAGAAUAAUGAUGUUCUCAUCAAUAAUUUGAUUGCUCAACAAAUAGUAAAACGGCAAGUGUUAUAGAGGCAAUUAUAUAUCUUUAUAUCUCUUAGCCAUGGAGGCAAUGAUCUAACCGCAAUGGUGCAGUGUCCACUCUUUUAUACACAGCAAAAAUUCUAGUAGAUAAGCAGUAAGUUCAAUUCUCAUCAAAAAAUAUAAACAUGAUCACAGGAACUAAAAAUGUAGUCAGAUCGAAGUAAUGAAUAGUCUUCAAAAUUACUUAAGAGUACCAUUUAUGAGUUUCAGAAUUGGCUCCACACUUGUGUUGAGAGUUGGCUGUAAGAGAGGGCCGAUCACCAAACCUGGAUUUAUUGUAACAAUAUCAAUUCCUUUCUCUUUUGCAAACUUCCAAGCAGCUUCCUCAGCUAAUGUCUUUGACAGCAUAUACCAAGCCUAAAGAAAACCAAUGUCUAAGCGAAGAAAAUGCACACAUUGUUUAUGACAUAAAAGCAAAGAGAUUUAACUCGUAUGCUAUAUUUUUCUUAUUAGUUAUCAAAAAUACAAAAAAUUAAAAAUCUUUUACAUGCAAACCUUUGAUUUUUCACAGAAAGCUGGAUCUGAAAACCAGGACUCAUCAAUUACUACAUCAGGAGCGACAGGCUUUCCAUUGAAUGCAACUGCUGCCAUAGAGGAAGUUAUAAUAACCCUCUUGAUAGACGGAACCUUAACACAUGAUCUGAGGACAUUAAGUGUUCCCUUCAAAGCAGGGUCAAUUAGUUCAACCUGACAAAAGAACAUAGAAACUUAAAUUAUAGAACUUGAUUUGACAAUAAAAGCAUCUAACAGGUGAUUGUUGCAUUUGUCUCCAUAUUCAAUGUAUCCAAUUCCAAAAUCAUACCAUAUAUACACUUCUUUACAAAUUAUGAGCUUUAACAGUUAAUCUUGUAGAUUGCACAAGUACUUGGUAAGUAUCAAGUGUACUCUUGGUGAGUACAAUUGAACGAACUUUUAAAAAUGAUAAUUACAUCCAAAUAGAUCUGGGACAGAUACCAUGCUACAAGAAAAGCAUGGCAACUAACUGUGCUGAUUAUAUAUAUCAUAUACCCUACUUUUUUGAUAUACAGUAGAAGACACAAUGUAAGUUAAACACUUGCUUAAAUGAAAGUUUUAUUUUCUUUUGGUAACUCCAGAAAGAUUUCAACAGAAGAGUCGCCUUUGGAAUUUAAAUAUACAAUACAUAUUAGUUAGUUGAUAACAACUUGCAGCAAUUAAAAUGAGAUGGGAUGUACCUGCGGAUCACUGGGAUUGUGAUAAAAUGGGGAUGCUGUAUGAAAAACAGCUACACUACCAUCAACUAAGGAAUCAAAAGAUCCUUCUUCCAGCAGAUCUGCUUUGAACAAUUGAAGCCUUUCCUUGGCUCCAUCUAAUGAAAGCAAGUGUUCUGUUUUCUUCUUGUCAUCUGUGGCAUUUCAAAAGGAUCGAAGCCCUUGAAUCAAUAAACCAUCAAAACCGGAUUGAGGAUCAGUUUGGUUCUAUGUGCAAGUAAAUUGAAUCAGACCCAUCAUUUUAUCAAGUUACCAAGGCCAAACCCACUAAAAACCAUACUUGAUCAAGCUACAAAUCACUCAAAUCCAUAAACUUUACCAACCUAUUAUUGAAACGCACACUAGUUUUCCAAUACCCAUAAACUUCUUGUUCAUUUAAAAGCUUUGCUAAGCCUCAAAGAUCAUCAAAUGAUAUUAUUCACAACAGGGUUUAAGGUCUAGAAUCGAACACAACUAAACUGAAGAGAAAAGAACAAAAACGUGGGUAUGUAUGAUAAUGAAACAAGAACUGAAGUGAUGUGGAAGACUGACUUGGGUCACGAACUGAAGCCUUGACAGUGUAGCCGCGUUGCAGCAACAGUUUGACCAGCCAUGAAGCUAUGUAGCCGGAGGCUCCGGUGACGCUCACCACCACCUUCUCUGCUCCGCUCAUUCUCUUCAACCCUUCAGAUUUCAGAUUUGAAUUUAUGCACUGCUUUAUUGCUUUUUUUAUCAUCACUCCGUACGUACGUCAGCGUCAACCCUCGAGAGCAUGGUCGCAAGCUCUUGCGUCAACCACAUUUUAGUCGUUUGACAACAUCCCGGAGACGCGUGUAGAUACACAACAGUUGAGAUUGGAUGACAUUCAGACCAAAACAAGAGAUUGGAUGACAUCAACAUUUGUACCGGUAGUAAUUCUAUAUACUAUAGCAGGAAGGCAUUACAACUGUUCAUUCAGCUGGCNNNNNNNNNNNNNNNNNNNNNNNNNNNNNNNNNNNNNNNNNNNNNNNNNNCAUUUUUACAUCCAUUGGUAAGAGGCCAAGAAUGGUUCACUGCAACUGAUAGCAAAAUCCUCACGGUACUCAUUUUCGCAACAGGAGCUAAAGGUCUCCUUGUAGUCUACUCCAUAGGUUUGAGUAAACCCACGAGUUACCCAAUCGUGCCUUGUAUCUAUCCACACUCCCAUCAGAAUGAAACUUGGUCUUGUAAACCCAUCUACUACCAACAGCCUUCUUCCCUUUAGGAAGCCUUACCACACUCCAUGUCUUAUUUUCAUUAAGGGCAUGAAGCUCAUCAACCAUAGCUUGCUUCCACACAUCAUGAUUAUUAGCUUCCUCAAAACUUUGAGGUUCAUGAUUAUUAUCAAGAGUACUCAAAAAGGCAGAGUGAGCAGAAGAGAACCUUUUAUAAGAGAUGAAGGUAGUCAUUGGAUACCUGGCAGCAUAUGUCACAUAAUCCUUAAGUUUUGCUGGAGGACCUCGUACUCGCAUAGGAUUUCUACGAGGUACAACUGGAGGUGAAAGAAGCGGCUCAACAACAGGUUGCACAUGUAAUUCAGAUUGAUCAACAUCUAGAUCAAGAGGCACUGCCUGAACUUCUGAAAUUGGAGCAGUAGGAUGAGAAGAUUGACUGGAAUCCCUAACAACCGGAUGACUGAAACUUGAAGCUGGAACUGAAGCAGUAGGAUGGAAAGGAUGUCUGCUAUCCUCAUCGACAGGAAGAUUAGGUGUUGGAAACAGAUCAAAUAAAGACUCCCCCUAACUGUAACCAUCUAAUUUCCCAGCAAAGAAAGGACUAUUCUCAUCAAAUCUAACAUCCCUGGAAACAAUGAUCUUGUUAGAGGAGGGGCUAUAGCAUUUGUAUCCUUUUUGAGUUGAUGAAUACCCAAAAAACACACAUUUUUCAGCCCGAGGAUCAAGUUUCCCUCUUUUAUUAGCUUGUAUGUGAACGAAGCACACGCAGCCAAACACUUUCAGGUGAGAAAUUUCGAUCUUCCUUCCUUUCAACACUUCAAGAGGAGAUUUACCACCAAACACUCUACUAGGCAACCGAUUGAUGAGAUAAGUGGCAGUGAGUACACUUUGAGACCAAAACUGCUUAGGCACAUUCAUUUGGAACAUCAGAGCUCUUGUUUUCUCCAAAAGAUCCCGAUUCUUUCUCUCAGCAAUGCCAUUUUUGCUGAGGCGUACCAACACAACUAGUCUGAUGUAGAAUUCCAUUUGUGCNNNNNNNNNNNNNNNNNNNNNNNNNNNNNNNNNNNNNNNNNNNNNNNNNNACCAAUGCCCUGCAAUACCUUUUAGUUUAUAAGCUGCAUACUUCACACGCUUGUUUGCAGCGAUUCCCAUAAGCUCAAAGAACCUCUCAACUUCCAUUAGCCAAUCCAAGAACUCGUCAGCAUUUAAAUUUCCAGUGAAGUUAGGGAUAUCAGCCUUAAUCUUAAAGUCUUCGCCUCCUUGACGUCGUUGAUAAGUAGGUUCCCUUUCAUUGAAGUUGGCAAAUUCAAUGAGUUCUCGUUGUGCGGUUUCUUCAAAGUCUUGGUCACGUUCAAACCCUCCGAUACGUCGACCUCUUUGUUGAUGGCCACGUCUACGGGCGAAUCCCAUAGCGCGUUGAUCAUCAAUUCCCAUGUGGCGUUCUCGGCGAUGUCCACGACCUCCGGCAAAUCCGUUGGUGCGAUGAGCAUCUCCUAUUGGAUUUAUGUUCAUCUGCCAAAUUAAUUGUCGAAUUUCCUCCGUUGCAUCUUGCACUGAUUCUCUCACAAAAUCUUGUGUCUGUUGUCGGAAGAUUUCGAACUGGUCAGCUAUAAGUUUCGAAUGAUCCCGUAAAUCCUUCUGAAUGUCUUUAAUCGCACGACCAGCGUCGGCGAAGUUGGUGAUGGUGAUUUCGUCCACUGAAUCGUCUCCCAUUGAGCGGGCGAAUCCCGGCUCUGGUUACCAAAUGAUACGGAAGCGUAAUCACGAUAGAAACAAGGUUUCGUCAAGCGUCGAAACCUUAUGGAGUAAGCUAGAAUCCACUAGCAAAACACAGGCACAAGCCUAAAACACAAGAGUUUCUAUUCUAAUUUCUUUUGGGUUUUCUUAUUGAUAACUUCCAUCAAAAUACAAUUUAGCAGGGGCCUUAUAUAGGCAUAGAAAUAAACAUAAUCAUACUAGAACUAGGAAUCCUUUAUUCUAAAUAAAACUUAAAUCCUAAUGAAAACAUAGAAAGUAAAAUAAUCCUAAUGCUGAUAGAAAAUAUGCAGGAACAAAGCUACUGCUUUGCAGAUUCAAAGCUGCUGCUUUGACUUUGCCUUCCUAGCAAGCUGUGUCUUAAAUGUUUGUGCAAGCUGUUCUAUAUCACCUUAAUUCAUUGUAAAGGUGUUUUACCUUUAUCAAUGCAUAUCUAUUUUAUUCACUGUCCAUGACACAGUAGCAGAGCCAAGUACACCAGCAAAAAGAACUAUGCAGCCCUGAAAAGAAUUAACACUUAAGGAGCUUUUGAACAUUGAAAUAAAGAAGCAGAAAAGGUAUUACCAUAUUGCAUGUGUGUGUGUGUGCGCGUGUGUGUGUGUGUGUCAUUAUAUAUACAUAUAUGUGUUGUGUGUUCAAUGCAUGUGUUACUCAGAAUACUUAUUAGAGAACAGUAACUAUGCUUCUCUUUUAAAUGGAAUGAUCUUUCAUUACAUUCUGGUAUUCGUCACCUGCUCAUCAUUGUCAUUUUCAAGUGCAACCAAAUUGAUCCCCUACUGAAAACAUUUCACUUUGCCGAGGAGAAGGAAGCAAAGGGACGUCAAAGUAAGCAUUGCUUAUAUCCAUAUAUAUGCAUUUCGUUUCUACCUCAGUAUCUAUUUACAUUACAGUAGUAUGAUUAAAAUGAGAUGGUCUGUAUUACAUUCUGAUAUUCAUGUAUUGUUAACGAUUGUUGGCAUUUUCAUGUACAACUAAAUUUAUCCAGUAACUAACACAUACCUCUUCACUUUGUAGAGGAGAAGGAAGCAAUGGGACAUCAAAGUAAGCAUCCCUUAUAUCCAUAUCCAUGCAUUUUUUGUAGAGGAGAAGAAAGCAAUGGGAUAUCAAAGUAAGCAUCCCUUAUAUCCAUAUCCAUGCAUUUGUUUUCUUUCAGUGUUUAUGUUGCAAUGGUAUGCUUUGCAUUUGUUUUGUUUAUCUUUUAACAGCUUUGUAUCCAUUGCCUGAAUUUAAAUAUUCAUAUACCAGAGCUCAAGGAAGUGAAUGUAAGGUCAAAUCAAAGCAGGAGUAAGAAAUAUGUGUUUUUGUAUAUGCUAUCCUUUUGAUGCUAACAAGUUGGACAUAGUUGGUUCUAACUACAGAUACAAUCCAGUGUUGCCUGGCAGUGGGAAGCAUUUUGCUAUCCAAAGAGACAAUAGACUAUUUUUUUGUGCCCAGUUAUUUUGGUGUCUAUAACACAAUACUAUGUAUUAUUGUUUUAUAUGUUAUGUAUAUCGAUAGCAUCACCAUGUGUAUUUCUAUUUUGUCAUACAUUUCCAUUUACCAUCAUGAAUUGCAUGUCAAAAAAUGUUAUCCAUUUCCUUUUUGUGACCAAUGUCAUUGUGCAAUAUCCAUGUUAUAUUAUUGUGUUUAUAAUUUUGUCGAACAACAACAACAUUGAUUCAAACAAAAACAAUUGCGGUAGUUAAUAUCUGUCAUUGCAAACCGCAGCAGCGCGCGGGCAUCAUCUAGU